AGAUAUUGAGGUCGGAAAUGGCUCCCAGCACUCCCGCAGGGGAGUUUGAGAUGCAGGAUACGCCGUUCUGCUGAUGUCA
This 79-nucleotide non-coding RNA is filed under the name unclassified sequences. RNAcentral describes it as "skipping-rope RNA". It matches the Rfam family "skipping-rope RNA". From Rfam's summary of the family: Firmicutes, Fusobacteria, AlphaProteobacteria, Spirochaetes. Downstream gene The record is from Rfam by way of RNAcentral.